This 516-nucleotide ribosomal RNA is filed under the name Triticum aestivum (bread wheat). RNAcentral's name for it is "partial small subunit ribosomal RNA". Lineage: Eukaryota; Viridiplantae; Streptophyta; Magnoliopsida; Poales; Poaceae. The record is from RNAcentral.
AUGGAUGGAAUGGUGGAUAAACAUUUGACAGAGCCAGAGUUGUUUGAUGAUCCUGAUACCGGGCUUGUACAGGGACUGGAUCAGCUACCUUUGAAAUUCACCGCUUCAAGUUUUUCCAAGUACACGUCUGGAAUUCUUGAUCAUCAUCAUGACCCAAAGGACAGCUACAGCAUUUUGCGCAUGGAUGCAAAUGACACUUGUUUGGAUUCCUUAUCCUCGUAUUCAGAGCGUUCUUGUAAGCAAAACUGGGAAAGCUUAUGUGAUUUCUCCACAGAAUUGCGGUCAUCAUCACAUCAUGUCCAAUCUCGUGGUGGUAGUUUGGAAGCUAUGUUUGGUUUCUCGUCGAAUGGGAGUAUUUGCAAUGAUUUUGAAGAUGACAACGGUAUCACGCUAGUCGAAGGCAACACCAAGAGUAGCUUGUUCUGUACAUCGGAUCUUGCAUUAUUUGGUUCUUGCUCUACUAGAGAUAGCAUCAGCGAGACUCCCAUGUUGUCGUUUGAUGGUGUAAGGUGGUAG